RNAcentral lists this transfer RNA (70 nucleotides) under Semnoderes armiger. Its description in RNAcentral is "tRNA-Phe". The record is from RNAcentral. Lineage: Eukaryota; Metazoa; Kinorhyncha; Cyclorhagida; Kentrorhagata; Semnoderidae.
UAAUUAAUAGCUUAAAUUAAAAUAGAGCAACACUUUGAAGUUGUGAGGGUAUAAGAUUUUAUUUAAUUAA